GUGAAACGCUGGCGGCGUGCUUAACACAUGCCAAGUCGAACGAGGUCCAUGGAGCUUGCUCCGGUAAGACCUAGUGGCGAACGGGUGCGUAACACGUGAGGAACCUGCCCUGGACUCUGGGAUAACAGUUGGAAACGACUGCUAAUACCGGAUACCACCGGUGCACCGCAUGGUGCGCCGAUGAAAGAAUUUCGGUCUGGGAGGGUCUCGCGGCCUAUCAGCUAGUUGGAGAGGUAACGGCUCACCAAGGCAUCGACGGGUAGCUGGUCUGAGAGGAUGAUCAGCCACACUGGGACUGAGACACGGCCCAGACUCCUACGGGAGGCAGCAGUGGGGAAUCUUGCACAAUGGGCGAAAGCCUGAUGCAGCAACGCCGCGUGCGGGAAGACGGCCCUAGGGUUGUAAACCGCUUUCAGCAGGGAAGAAACUGACGGUACCUGCAGAAGAAGAUGCGGCCAACUACGUGCCAGCAGCCGCGGUGACACGUAGGCAUCGAGCGUUAUCCGGAUUUAUUGGGCGUAAAGAGCUCGUAGGCGGUUCGGUUAGUCGGGUGUGAAAACUCUGGGCUCAACCCAGAGACGCCACCCCGAUACCUGCUGUGACUAGAGUGCGU
RNAcentral lists this ribosomal RNA (613 nucleotides) under uncultured bacterium. RNAcentral describes it as "bacterial SSU rRNA". It matches the Rfam family "Bacterial small subunit ribosomal RNA", at positions 28 to 651 of the family's 1533-position model. The record is from RNAcentral.